CUCCUGCCCCGGGGCCCCUGUCCACUCAGCCAUAGCUCAGUGCCCUGCCCCAAGGUGCUCCAGCCCUGCCCCAAAUGGGGCAGUAGGUGGGGGGUUGCUUGCUCGUCCCCAUCCCCCCUGGCAGCAUCCCCCUGACGCAUGGUUUCCCUGUUUUGACACGGCCUUUCUCGGCAGUUCCUCAUUGACAAGAAUGGCUGUGUGGUGAAGCGCUACGGUCCCAUGGAAGAGCCCCUGGUAAUAGAGAAGGACUUACCCUGCUACCUCUAGCUCCACAAGUACGCGCCCCCCCCCACGGCCCCUGCCCCUCGGAGCCUUCCACCCGGCACCCAUGACGGUCUGCCUGAAAACCAGCCCGCUGGUGGGGCAGACCCGAGAACCUGGCGUGCACCCCCCGCCGGAGGAAGGUUCCUCAGGCCUGGCUCGAGGCUUGGCGCCCCCCACCCCUGGUUAUCUUGUGGGAAUAAAACAUACAAAUGGCC
Long non-coding RNA from Ailuropoda melanoleuca (giant panda), 479 nucleotides. RefSeq lists it as uncharacterized. Lineage: Eukaryota; Metazoa; Chordata; Mammalia; Carnivora; Ursidae. The transcript has 2 exons. The record is from RefSeq and is a predicted model, not a curated record.